This 480-nucleotide small RNA is filed under the name Pongo abelii (Sumatran orangutan). RNAcentral's name for it is "retained intron". Lineage: Eukaryota; Metazoa; Chordata; Mammalia; Primates; Hominidae. The record is from RNAcentral.
AUAGAAAUGGGGUUUCAUCAUGUUGGCCAGGCUGGUCUCGAACUCCUGACCUCAGGUGAUCCACCCCCGCCUCUGCCUCCCAAAGUGCAGGGAUUACAGGCGUAAGCCACGGUGCCCAGCCUCCUAAGACAUUCUUACCUGGUUUCUAGAACCACCUGUAACAUUUACCCACUCAACUGGACUUUGUUUCAUUUGUUUAGCUGACUGCAGAUGAUGAGGCCUUCUUGUCAGCAAAUGCAGGUGCUAUACUCAGCCAGUUUGAGAAAGUCUCUACAGACCUUGGCUCUGGAGACAAAAUUCUUGCUCUGGCAAGUUUUGAGGUUGAAAAAACAAAAAAAUGACAUGGUGCAGAAGCUUGUAACGUUGAUCACAUUCUUACUGUAACUGGUGUCUUUCUUCUGGGGGUUUUCAGUUAUUGCAAAGAAAUGAAGAGAUUCUGGAAAUGCAUCAAUAACCUAAGAAAAAGCGACAUAAAAAUAU